This 254-nucleotide ribosomal RNA is filed under the name uncultured bacterium. RNAcentral describes it as "partial 16S ribosomal RNA". It matches the Rfam family "Bacterial small subunit ribosomal RNA", at positions 9 to 253 of the family's 1533-position model. The record is from RNAcentral.
GAGUUUGUAUCCUGGCUCAGGAUGAACGCUAGCUACAGGCUUAACACAUGCAAGUCGAGGGGCAGCAUGGACCCAGCUUCGCUGGGUUUGAUGGCGACCGGCGCACGGGUGAGUAACGCGUAUCCAACCUGCCCUUUACUCCGGGAUAGUCUCCUGAAAGGGAGUUUAAUACCGGAUGUGUUUGUCUUUCCGCAUGGAGCGACAAAUAAGAUUGAUUGGUAAAGGAUGGGGAUGCGUCCCAUUAGCUUGUUGGG